Molecule: transfer RNA, 73 nt
Filed under: Pseudomonadota bacterium
Lineage: Bacteria; Pseudomonadati; Pseudomonadota
Also listed under: 2 other names
Description: tRNA-Glu
Rfam family: tRNA
About the family: Transfer RNA (tRNA) molecules are approximately 80 nucleotides in length.
Source: RNAcentral
GCCCCCAUCGUCUAGUGGCCUAGGACACAGCCCUUUCAAGGCUGCGACAGGGAUUCGAAUUCCCUUGGGGGCA